RNAcentral lists this ribosomal RNA (438 nucleotides) under uncultured Vagococcus sp. Its description in RNAcentral is "bacterial SSU rRNA". It matches the Rfam family "Bacterial small subunit ribosomal RNA", at positions 806 to 1249 of the family's 1533-position model. The record is from RNAcentral. Lineage: Bacteria; Bacillati; Bacillota; Bacilli; Lactobacillales; Enterococcaceae.
ACGAUGAGUGCUAAGUGUAGGGGGUUUCCGCCCUUAGUGCUGCAGCUAACGCAUUAAGCACUCGCUGGGGAGUACGACCGCAAGGUUGAAACUCAAAGGAAUUGACGGGGGCCCGCACAGCGGUGGAGCAUGUGGUUUAAUUCGAAGCAACGCGAAGAACCUUACCAGGUCUUGACAUCCUUUGGUCACUCUAGAGAUAGAGCUUUCCCUUCGGGGACAAAGUGACAGGUGGUGCAUGGUUGUCGUCAGCUCGUGUCGUGAGAUGUUGGGUUAAGUCCCGCAACGAGCGCAACCCUUAUUGUUAGUUGCCAUCAUUCAGUUGGGCACUCUAGCGAGACUGCCGGUGACAAACCGGAGGAAGGUGGGGAUGACGUCAAAUCAUCAUGCCCCUUAUGACCUGGGCUACACACGUGCUACAAUGGGAAGUACAACGAGUAG